RNAcentral lists this unclassified non-coding RNA (174 nucleotides) under soil metagenome. RNAcentral describes it as "partial internal transcribed spacer 1". The record is from RNAcentral.
ACAAUUGACUGGAAAGCGCUGUCGCAAGACGGCAUUUCCGAUUUGUUUCUGUGCACUGGUUCUUGCUGCUAGCCUCGCAAGGGGUUGGCAGUUUGAAUGCCAAUUUGCUUUCUGUUUUUCUUUUUUUUUUUAAACUGUUUUUGCGCAAGUGAAAACAAAAAACUGUAACCAAGA